CCAUGCCGAACACGGAAGUUAAGCUCUUCAGCGCCGAUGGUAGUUGGGGGCUUCCCCCUGUGAGAGUAGGACGCCGCCAAGC
Molecule: ribosomal RNA, 82 nt
Filed under: Bacillus licheniformis
Lineage: Bacteria; Bacillati; Bacillota; Bacilli; Caryophanales; Bacillaceae
Also listed under: 2 other names
Source: RNAcentral